This 521-nucleotide ribosomal RNA is filed under the name fungal clone UUF-63. RNAcentral describes it as "SSU rRNA". It matches the Rfam family "Eukaryotic small subunit ribosomal RNA", at positions 216 to 734 of the family's 1831-position model. The record is from RNAcentral. Lineage: Eukaryota; Fungi.
AUUAAAAACCCAAUGCCCUUYGGGGSUYUYUUGGUGAUUCAUGAUAACUUCUCGGAAUCGCAUGGCCUUGCGCCGGCGAUGGUUCAUUCAAAUUUCUUCCCUAUCAACUUUCGAUGUUUGGGUAUUGGCCAAACAUGGUUGCAACGGGUAACGGAGGGUUAGGGCUCGACCCCGGAGAAGGAGCCUGAGAAACGGCUACUACAUCCAAGGAAGGCAGCAGGCGCGCAAAUUACCCAAUCCCGACUCGGGGAGGUAGUGACAAUAAAUACUGAUACAGGGUUCUUUUGGAUCUUGUAAUUGGAAUGAGUACAAUUUAAAUCCCUUAACGAGGAACAAUUGGAGGGCAAGUCUGGUGCCAGCAGCCGCGGUAAUUCCAGCUCCAAUAGCGUAUAUUAAAGUUGUUGUGGUUAAAAAGCUCGUAGUUGAACCUUGGGCCUGGCUGGCCGGUCCGCCUCACCGCGUGUACUGGUCCGGCCGGGCCUUUCCCUCUGUGGAACCCUAUGCCCUUCACUGGGUGUGGC